RNAcentral lists this ribosomal RNA (497 nucleotides) under uncultured bacterium. Its description in RNAcentral is "partial 16S ribosomal RNA". It matches the Rfam family "Bacterial small subunit ribosomal RNA", at positions 28 to 507 of the family's 1533-position model. The record is from RNAcentral.
GAUGAACGCUGGCGGUGUGCCUAAUACAUGCGAGUCGAGCGAACGGACGAGAAGCUUGCUUCUCUGAUGUUAGCGGCGGACGGGUGAGUAACACGUGGAUAACCUACCUAUAAGACUGGGAUAACUUCGGGAAACCGGAGCUAAUACCGGAUAAUAUUUUGAACCGCAUGGUUCAAAAGUGAAAGACGGUCUUGCUGUCACUUAUAGAUGGAUCCGCGCUGCAUUAGCUAGUUGGUAAGGUAACGGCUUACCAAGGCAACGAUGCAUAGCCGACCUGAGAGGGUGAUCGGCCACACUGGAACUGAGACACGGUCCAGACUCCUACGGGAGGCAGCAGUAGGGAAUCUUCCGCAAUGGGCGAAAGCCUGACGGAGCAACGCCGCGUGAGUGAUGAAGGUCUUCGGAUCGUAAAACUCUGUUAUUAGGGAAGAACAUAUGUGUAAGUAACUGUGCACAUCUUGACGGUACCUAAUCAGAAAGCCACGGCUAACUACGUG